This 377-nucleotide ribosomal RNA is filed under the name uncultured bacterium. RNAcentral describes it as "bacterial SSU rRNA". It matches the Rfam family "Bacterial small subunit ribosomal RNA", at positions 523 to 898 of the family's 1533-position model. The record is from RNAcentral.
AUACGGAGGGUGCAAGCGUUGUUCGGAAUCACUGGGCGUAAAGGGCGCGUAGGCGGCUUGGCAAGUCAGAUGUGAAAGUCCACGGCUUAACCGUGGAAGUGCAUUUGAAACUGCCUGGCUUGAGUAUCAGAGGGGAAGGUGGAAUUCCCGGUGUAGAGGUGAAAUUCGUAGAUAUCGGGAGGAAUACCGGUGGCGAAGGCGACUUUCUGGCUGAAUACUGACGCUGAGGCGCGAAAGCGUGGGGAGCAAACAGGAUUAGAUACCCUGGUAGUCCACGCCGUAAACGAUGUCAACUAGAUGCAGGGGGUGUUGAUCCCCUCUGUGUCGCAGUUAACGCAUUAAGUUGACCGCCUGGGGAGUACGGUCGCAAGAUUAAA